This 787-nucleotide long non-coding RNA is filed under the name Danio rerio (zebrafish). Its description in RNAcentral is "si:dkey-34f16.9 (ENSDARG00000096735.3)". Lineage: Eukaryota; Metazoa; Chordata; Actinopteri; Cypriniformes; Danionidae. The record is from RNAcentral.
ACAGCUGUGAAUGAACGAUCUGUUUUUUUCUUCAGAAUGACAGAUUGAGCUUAACUUCUCCUCACAUCAGGCUUGUCAUUCCUCCGGUGGAUCCUCGUGCGACUAGAUACCUAAGAGUCUUCCACAAGAAAUGCUGGCUUACUGACUCAGCUAAUCGUAAGGAAUCCAAGCAUGGAUCUUUCGUCUCAAGAGCCAAAGCUGUUUAUUUGCCUGUGUUUACACACGCCGCGAGCCUCAGACUCCCGCCAGAAAAAGUGACCUGUCAGCAGCGCUUUGAGUCUGAGAAGGCCAGGACACAGAGGCACUGCACUAACGUCCCACUGGGCUCAAAGACAGCGUUUCCUCAGACUCAAUCUCAGCAAUCAAAACACUGACAUGGCAAACGGGAUAACAGGACAACAAGUCAGACGCUCAACACUCUUCAACAUGCCACAGAUGCUGCUAUAAGUUCCCUGCAGAGUGUCUCCAGCUUACUGCGGGCCAGAAUGGCACGACUGUGUUCGAACUGAAGCUGAUCUCUCUGCUUGACCAGAAGACCCUGUCUCUGCUGAAACUGCUCCAGCUGUUUCUUCUCAGUUCUGUGUUCGUCCACCUGCACAAAACAUGCACAGGUGUGAUACAUACAUCACCACAUACACCAAAAAAACAUUGCUCUUAGACUGUACAGUAUAUUACUUUAGGGAAAAUCUGGAUUUGGAAUGGGGAAAGCUAUCUGGCAUAUAUCGUGUUCUACUCAUCAGUUGAGAUGAAAAUUAGAGAACAACCUACACUGAAUAAAUAUAAAUAU